AAUGAACGCUGGCGGCGUGCCUAACACAUGCCAGUCGGAUGUGCCGCAAGGUGCAUGGCAGACGGGUGAGUAACGCGUAGGGAAUCUACCUUUUUGUGGGGAAUAACGCUCCGAAAGGAGUGGUAAUACCGCAUGAGACCGUGAGCUGGGAUGUUCACGGUGAAACCUGGGGACCGCAAGGCCUGGGGCAAAAAGAGGAUCCUGCGUCUGAUUAGCUAGUUGGCGGGGUAAUGGCCACCAAGGCGACGAUCAGUAGCCGGCCUGAGAGGGUGAUCGGCCACACUGGAACUGAGACACGGUCCAGACUCCUACGGGAGGCAGCAGUGGGGAAUUUUGCGCAAUGGACGAAAGUCUGACGCAGCAACGCCGCGUGGGUGAUGAAGGUCUUCGGACUGUAAAACCCUGUCGUCAGGGACGAAGGUGGCAGUGUUAAUAGCGCUGUUACUUGACGGUACCUGGAGAGGAAGCCCCGGCUAACUCUGUG
This 484-nucleotide ribosomal RNA is filed under the name uncultured bacterium. Its description in RNAcentral is "partial 16S ribosomal RNA". It matches the Rfam family "Bacterial small subunit ribosomal RNA", at positions 29 to 507 of the family's 1533-position model. The record is from RNAcentral.